This 323-nucleotide long non-coding RNA is filed under the name Carica papaya (papaya). RNAcentral describes it as "long non-coding RNA (CPAP_LNC015304)". The record is from RNAcentral. Lineage: Eukaryota; Viridiplantae; Streptophyta; Magnoliopsida; Brassicales; Caricaceae.
AACGGUUUUUCUUAUGAUAAAUGAAUUUACUUAAAUCAAGAGCUUCAUUAGUUGUUUUAAUGAUUUUUACCAACCUUCAGUUUCUGUAUUAGUGAGUAGUGUGAUAUUCUUACUAGGGUAGUGUAGCUCACCCUUUCAUUAACUAUUUUAUAUUAAGAUGAUCAAGAUCCAGAUCUCGAUCAACAAGAGGGUUGUGAAUAAGUUCACCACUCGGACUCCCUUCAAAAGCUAGUGAAGGUUGUCCUAGAAUACUCAGUUAUUUACUUUUUAUUUAUUUUCUUAAUUUUUGUAAUUUUUUUUAGAAGAGACAUUCCCGUAAUCCU